Molecule: unclassified non-coding RNA, 372 nt
Filed under: uncultured fungus
Lineage: Eukaryota; Fungi
Description: sequence contains ITS1
Rfam family: 5.8S ribosomal RNA (bases 1-105)
Source: RNAcentral
GAAGUGCGAUAAGCAAUGCGAAUUGCAGAAUUCCGCGAAUCAUCAGAUCUUUGAACGCAAAUGGCGCUGGAGGGAUAUCCUUCCAGCAUGUCUGUUUCAGUGUCUGAGAGGUUUCAUACAAAUCUUAAUGUGAUUGAAGGGCGGUUGUUAUUGUAUUGUUGCUCUUAACAACAGCAACGAUCAUUAUCAGCUAGCUCUUCUCUCAUGAAAGAUGCGUGAGUGGAUCUUUCGGUCCAAUGAAGUGGUCACAUCACUCGCAUGUGAUUUCAUUGGGGAGACAACGAAUUAUCCGCAUGCUCACUGUAACAUAACAAUAACAACCACCCUCCAUACCCUGCAUCUGAGAUAGGCAAGAUCACCCGCUGAACUUAA